AGUGAACGCUGGCGGCAGGCCUAACACAUGCAAGUCGAGCGGCAGCACGGCAAUAGCAAUAUUGUGGGUGGCGAGCGGCGGACGGGUGAGGAAUGCAUCGGGAUCUACCCUGUCGUGGGGGACAACGUAGGGAAACUUACGCUAAUACCGCAUGAUCUGGAGACAGCAAAGCCGGGGACCUUCGGGCCUGGCGCGAUGGGAUGAGCCGAUGUCCGAUUAGCUAGUUGGCGGGGUAAAGGCCCACCAAGGCGACGAUCGGUAGCUGGUCUGAGAGGACGACCAGCCACACUGGAACUGAGACACGGUCCAGACUCCUACGGGAGGCAGCAGUGGGGAAUAUUGGACAAUGGGGGCAACCCUGAUCCAGCCAUGCCGCGUGGGUGAAGAAGGC
This 391-nucleotide ribosomal RNA is filed under the name uncultured bacterium. Its description in RNAcentral is "bacterial SSU rRNA". It matches the Rfam family "Bacterial small subunit ribosomal RNA", at positions 30 to 415 of the family's 1533-position model. The record is from RNAcentral.